This is a small nuclear RNA of 126 nucleotides. Its record names the gene U2. It matches the Rfam family "U2 spliceosomal RNA". Rfam says of the family: U2 is a small nuclear RNA (snRNA) component of the spliceosome (involved in pre-mRNA splicing). Complementary binding between U2 snRNA (in an area lying towards the 5' end but 3' to hairpin I) and the branchpoint sequence (BPS) of the intron results the bulging out of an unpaired adenosine, on the BPS, which initiates a nucleophilic attack at the intronic 5' splice site, thus starting the first of two transesterification reactions that mediate splicing. The record is from Ensembl.
GUUGCUUCUUGGCCUUUUGGCUAAGAUCAAGCAUAGUAUCUGUUCUUAUCAGUAUAGGAGCGAAUAGUAGAAAAGACUGGAGACUGAUUAUUGUAGUAAUUCAAACUGGAGACACUGUUACCUCAA